RNAcentral lists this ribosomal RNA (1306 nucleotides) under uncultured bacterium. RNAcentral describes it as "bacterial SSU rRNA". It matches the Rfam family "Bacterial small subunit ribosomal RNA", at positions 28 to 1381 of the family's 1533-position model. The record is from RNAcentral.
AACGUACGCUGGCGGCACGCCUAACACAUGCAAGUCGAACGAAGUAGCAAUACUUAGUGGCAGACGGGUGAGUAACAUGUAGGUAUCUGCCCUUUGGCCUGGAAUAACACGAGGAAACUUGUGCUAAUACCGGAUAAGUCUUUACGGAGAAAGCUUUAUGCACCAUUGGAUGAGCCUGCACUUGAUUAGUUUGUUGGUGGGGUGAUGGCCUACCAAGACUGUGAUCAAUAGCUGAUUUGAGAGGAUGAUCAGCCACAUUGGGACUGAGACACGGCCCAAACUCCUACGGGAGGCAGCAGUGGGGAAUCUUGCACAAUGGAGGAAACUCUGAUGCAGCGAUGCCGCGUGAGUGAAGAAGGCCCUUGGGUUGUAAAGCUCUUUCGUCGGGGAAGAAAAUGACUGUACCCGAAUAAGAAGGUCCGGCUAACUUCGUGCCAGCAGCCGCGGUAAUACGAAGGGACCUAGCGUAGUUCGGAAUUACUGGGCUUAAAGAGUUCGUAGGUGGUUGAAAAAGUUAGUGGUGAAAUCCCAGAGCUUAACUCUGGAACUGCCAUUAAAACUUUUCAGCUAGAGUAUGAUAGAGGAAAGCAGAAUUUCUAGUGUAGAGGUGAAAUUCGUAGAUAUUAGAAAGAAUACCAAUUGCGAAGGCAGCUUUCUGGAUCAUUACUGACACUGAGGAACGAAAGCAUGGGUAGCGAAGAGGAUUAGAUACCCUCGUAGUCCAUGCCGUAAACGAUGUGUGUUAGACGUUGGAAAUUUAUUUUCAGUGUCGCAGGGAAACCGAUAAACACACCGCCUGGGGAGUACGACCGCAAGGUUAAAACUCAAAUGAAUUGACGGGGACCCGCACAAGUAGUGGAGCAUGUGGUUUAAUUCGAAGAUACGCGCAGAACCUUACCAACACUUGACAUGUUCGUCGCGACUCUAAGAGAUUAGAGUUUUCGGUUCGGCCGGACGAAACACAGGUGCUGCAUGGCUGUCGUCAGCUCGUGUCGUGAGAUGUUGGGUUAAGUCCCGCAACGAGCGCAACCCUCACUUUUAGUUGCCAUCAUUAAGUUGGGCACUCUGAAAGAACUGCCAGUGAUAAGCUGGAGGAAGGUGGGGAUGACGUCAAGUCCUCAUGGCCCUUACGUGUUGGGCUACACACGUGCUACAAUGGUAUCUACAACAGGAAGCAAGACUGCGAAGUUAAGCAAAUCCCUAAAAGAUACCUCAGUUCGGAUUGCACUCUGCAACUCGAGUGCAUGAAGCUGGAAUUACUAGUAAUCGUGGAUCAGCGUGCCACGGUGAAUGCGUUCCCGGGUCU